RNAcentral lists this ribosomal RNA (253 nucleotides) under uncultured bacterium. Its description in RNAcentral is "partial 16S ribosomal RNA". It matches the Rfam family "Bacterial small subunit ribosomal RNA", at positions 524 to 776 of the family's 1533-position model. The record is from RNAcentral.
UACGUAGGGGGCAAGCGUUGUCCGGAAUCAUUGGGCGUAAAGCGCGUGUAGGCGGCCCGGUAAGUCCGCUGUGAAAGUCCAGGGCUCAACCCUGGGAUGCCGGUGGAUACUGUCGGGCUCGAGUCCGGAAGAGGCGAGUGGAAUUCCUGGUGUAGCGGUGAAAUGCGUAGAUAUCUGGAGGAACACCGGUGGCGAAGGCGGCAUCCUGGACCGAGAUUGACGCUGAGGCGCGAAAGCUAGGGGAGCAAACGGG